GUGGGGUUGUGGCUCAGUGGUAGAGUACUCACCUAACAUGCAUGAGGCACUGGGUUUGAUCCUCAGCACCACA
Molecule: transfer RNA, 73 nt
Filed under: Marmota monax (woodchuck)
Lineage: Eukaryota; Metazoa; Chordata; Mammalia; Rodentia; Sciuridae
Description: tRNA.Val
Source: RNAcentral